Molecule: ribosomal RNA, 729 nt
Filed under: uncultured crenarchaeote
Lineage: Archaea; Thermoproteati; Thermoproteota
Description: bacterial SSU rRNA
Rfam family: Archaeal small subunit ribosomal RNA
Source: RNAcentral
CUGGUGCCAGCCGCCGCGGUAAAACCAGCUCUUCAAGUGGUCGGGAUAAUUAUUGGGCUUAAAGUGUCCGUAGCCGGUUUAGUAAGUUCCUGGUAAAAUCGGGUAGCUUAACUAUCUGUAUGCUAGGAAUACUACUAUGCUAAGGGCGGGAGAAGGUCGACGGUAUUCUCAGGGUAGGGUGAAAUCCUAUAAUCCUGGGAGGACCACCAGUGGCGAAGCUGUCGGCUAAACGCGCUCGACGGUGAGGGACGAAAGCUGGGGGAGCAAACCGGAUUAGAUACCCGGGUAGUCCCAGCUGUAAACGAUGCGGGCUAGUGUUGGGGUGGCUACGAGCCACUUCAGUGCCGCAGGGAAGCCGUUAAGCCCGCCGCCCGGGGAGUACGGGCCGCAAGGCUGAAACUUAAAGGAAUUGGCGGGGGAGCACCACAAGGCGUGAAGCUUGCGGUUCAAUUGGAGUCAACGCCGGGAACCUUACCGGGGGCGACAGCAGAAUGAAGGCCAAUUGAAGGUCUUGCCGGACAAGCUGAGAGGAGGUGCAUGGCCGUCGCCAGUUCGUGCCGUGAGGUGUCCUGUUAAAGUCAGGCAACGAUCGAGACCCGCACCCUUAGUUUGCUACCGAGGAAGGUUUUCCAAGGGGCACUCUAGGGGGACUGCGCCGACAGGCGGAGGAAGGAGCGGGCCACGGCAGGUACAGUAUGCCCCGAAUCCCCCGGGCACAACACGCGAGCU